Molecule: long non-coding RNA, 626 nt
Filed under: Medicago truncatula (barrel medic)
Lineage: Eukaryota; Viridiplantae; Streptophyta; Magnoliopsida; Fabales; Fabaceae
Description: lncRNA gene15196
Source: RNAcentral
ACAAGUCAGACAGUUUGCCUCAAGAGAUUGAGUUCAGAAAAGAUUACUCCUUUCACACAUCUAAUUGAAUCAUCAUCCUUGUAUUUAAAUAUCAAAAACAAACUACUAUUGAUGCAAUUUCACAAAUUAAAAAAUCCAGUAAUAUUUCCUACAAUCUCAGAUUAACAACACUAAAACAAACAAUAAGCAAGUCAGACAGUUUGCCUCAAAAAAUAGAGUUCAGCAAGGAUUUCUCCUUUCAUACAUCUAAUUGAAUCAUCAUACUUGCAUAUUGUCCUAUAAAAUUAACAUUACAUUUGAAAAAAGUUUUAACAAAUGUUACCACUUGCUUUCUGAGACAUUAAUAAAGCACCAAUGAAACUGAAAUUGAAUCAGCUAAAUCUUUAAGUCAAAACUUACAAGAAGCCAUUAACCAAAGAUAUUAACAUUGAUAAAAAUAACAGAUCCAAUGGUAAAAGGGUCUAUGCCUCAUAAAUAAAUAAAAACAAGUGGUGGAAAAGAAUUCAUAGAAGGAAAACCCUAAUAUGAAACCUUAUAGUAAUUUAAUUUAGCACAGCAAUGACUCAAAACGCUUUCAUUUUAUUUGAAAGGCGAUCUUAAGGGCUGUGCUUAAACAUCAAAUCAAU